RNAcentral lists this ribosomal RNA (717 nucleotides) under Teretomonas rotunda. Its description in RNAcentral is "eukaryotic LSU rRNA". The stretch from base 388 to 717 matches the Rfam family "Eukaryotic large subunit ribosomal RNA", at positions 1 to 327 of the family's 3401-position model. Lineage: Eukaryota; Cercozoa; Glissomonadida; Allapsidae. The record is from RNAcentral.
CAAUCUUUGACGCAAUGGCGCUCUCGGGAUAGACCUGGGAGCACGCCUCUCUGAGUAUCGGUUCAACCUUCACUCGUCUGCGUACUUUUAUUAGUAUUGCAAACGGAUAAUGAGAGUCCAAGCUGAAACAGCUUCGUCUCUUGAAAUUGAUGGAGCUUUCAAUCUCCUAGUAACCGUAUCGAUUUAUCGAUACUAGCCUCGAUUUGGCGACUAUUCAACUAGUGACGUGGAUAACAUCACGUAGUGAUACGAAACGUCUCAACUAUUCGAAUUGGUCAUAUCUAUGCCAGAACGUGUUGCGAAAAUGCUAAGAAAUUGUCAAAGCGUUUGAAUUGAUCCCGUACAUUGUGUUGGGUGUAAACCUAUAUACUUGUACGUAUUGACAUUAGAUCUCAGAUGAAGCGAGAAGACCCCCUGAAUUUAAGCAUAUUAAUAAGGGGAGGAAAAGAAACUAACAAGGAUUCCCCCAGUAACGGCGAGUGAAGCGGGAUGAGCUCAAUAUGAAAAUCGUACACCCAGGCGGGUUUACGAAUUGUAGCCUAGAGACGUGUGAUCAGCGAUAGCCCAGGUAUAAGUCCUUUGGAAGAAGGCAUCAGCGAGGGUGAGAAUCCCGUGUUUGACCUGGAGUCUGUCGCGUACGAUGCAUGUUCAUCGAGUCGAGUUGUUUGGGAUUGCAGCUCUAAAUGGGUGGUAGUUUCAUCUAAGCUAAAUAUGGCG